AAAAAGACUUAUUCUUGGGGCUGAAACAUACCAAGAAAUGACAAAAAUAACAUUUACGAACUCAUUCAGGUACACAAUAAAGCAGCAAGCAUGCUGAAAAAUAUUGUUGAAAGUUUUAGAAAAAGCAAAAAACGUUUUGCAGAUGACACGGAUGCCUGCAAAGUCAUCUUAUGGUUGAAAAACAAUUUUGUUAAACAUAAUGCCAAAUUAUGAUUACUCCCUCAAUCUAUGCUUCAAUCAUAUUAGAGCAAAAACACAAAGGACAAAUAACAAGCAUUCCUUCUACCAUUUGCAUCCAACUCUUUUCUUUACCAAGAGCAUGGUCAGAGUCAGAAUAAUGAAGAUAGGAAGAGUUAUCAGAUGAUACAAUUUUUCUGUUGCUUCAACUUCAGCAAAACACGUCCGGUACCAGGUACAAAUUCCAAAAUUAUGCCCCUAUAGCAACAGGAAGAGUAAUCCUAACAGAUUGAAAUUGCGUCAAUCCAAUUCUUGCUUGCUCUUACUUCUUUUCAUUUUUGCCUUAAACCUCGAUUUUGCCACAAGUGUCUGAACAGUAUUGAGGAAAUUUCCAGCUGCCAUAAAAACCAGAAGGAUCCCACAGAAUAUUACCUGCCACUCAGAUACAACCCUUACGAAUGCAGUCCUGAGCAACAGAAGUCCAACAUAUGCCUCAAAACCCUGUAAAAUGAAGAGAAUAGGGCACAAAAGCCAUAAUUGGCCUUCCACUCCAGCUGUUUCACCCCAAACAACAUCCAUUCUCUUGGCCUUCCCCAAGGCAAUACGAGUAUAAAGUCUUUGGCGUUGAUAUCUGU
This 812-nucleotide unclassified non-coding RNA is filed under the name Hevea brasiliensis (rubber tree). Lineage: Eukaryota; Viridiplantae; Streptophyta; Magnoliopsida; Malpighiales; Euphorbiaceae. The record is from RNAcentral.